GACAGUGGGUGCAAACGUUGUUCGGAAUUACUGGGCGUAAAGCGAGUGUAGGCGGUUUGGUAAGUCGGGUGUGAAAGCCCUGGGCUCAACCCAGGAAGUGCACUCGAUACUGUCAGGCUAGAGUAUCGGAGAGGUUGGUGGAAUUCUCGGUGUAGAGGUGAAAUUCGUAGAUAUCGAGAGGAACACCGGUGGCGAAGGCGGCCAACUGGACGAAUACUGACGCUGAGACUCGAAAGCGUGGGGAGCAAACAGG
RNAcentral lists this ribosomal RNA (253 nucleotides) under uncultured bacterium. Its description in RNAcentral is "partial 16S ribosomal RNA". It matches the Rfam family "Bacterial small subunit ribosomal RNA", at positions 524 to 776 of the family's 1533-position model. The record is from RNAcentral.